UAAUUUUAGGAAAGGAUUUAGUUCUGUGUUUUUUUUAAACGUUCUAAUGGGUCAUUUCGUGAAACCGAUCGUGUGACUCGAUUUAAAUUAA
This 91-nucleotide transfer RNA is filed under the name Streptococcus parasanguinis F0405. RNAcentral's name for it is "tRNA-Lys". Lineage: Bacteria; Bacillati; Bacillota; Bacilli; Lactobacillales; Streptococcaceae. The record is from RNAcentral.